GAAGGAGUUCACGGCCUAUGUUGCAUGGAUACGUCACCUAACUGCCGUAUCGGUGCAGGAUACUGCACUAGGACGGGGAUACGCGUGGAUACGCGUGGGAUACCCGUAUCUCAACGUACCACGUUUUUUGCAAAUUAAAAUAAAGAGAAAAAUAGGGAUACGGCUGGGACACGGGGGGAUACACUCGGGAUACUUUUUAGCCUGUUAGCACUCGAUCUCCAGUCCAACAAAAGCCUACUCGCGAUGGGUAAAUAAACCUAAUCGCUUGAGUCCAUCGUGCCGUCACCUGCAGUUGCCAAGGGCUGGAGCCGCGCGCAUCUCCGUACUCCCUUCCGCCGCUGCCGCCGCCGCCGGCGGCAUCUCGCAGCUCGCCACCGGCCUCCGUUCUCGGUUCUCCAACUCCAAGUCGGCAAGUCUUCCCCAUCCUGAAUCUGAAUACAAGGACUGUAUACAAGGAGUGGAGUCAGGACAUGAUAAGGCAGCAACUUCUUCAGAUAACCCUCAAUGAAAAAAGAUCAGGUUACUUCAUAAGCAUCAAUUUUCUCAUCCUCUAAAAAAAUUGUGUUUUGGUGCUGAUUUUUUUAUGCAUUCAUACAUAUACUCGCCGUAUCCCCGUAAGCCUAUUUUCAGAAAAUGCCGUUUUCUCGUAUCGCCGUAUCCGUAUCCCCGUACCCGUAUCCCCGUACCAUGUAACGUAGUUCACGGCGGCGAGUUUCGUGGAUGGAGUUCCUGAUGCAACCAAUUAGGAGGUCCGCGGUGAUGGAGGACGUGAAUGACAACCAGCUGCCAAUGGAGCCGGUGCACUACCCAGCGGUCCCCCAUGGCCACUGUAAGCGUUGACGGGCAGAUCUGUGCGGCGGAUGGGGCAGUUGCGGUGGAGGGGAAUGAUGAACCGCAGGCGUCUGAGCAAUCUAUUGGCUAGGUUAAUCCAAAAACACCAGGCUGGACUCGCAGGCUUAGGAUUGGUGCUGCCGCACCGAGCAGAACACCAUGCCCAAAUCGAAUCAGUGCGUUUGAGAAGGCAGUCAGGUGUUGCGGAGAGAACCCAGCUGAAAACGUGAUCACACCGGUUCUCGGUACUAGUUUCGACUCUUUGGGCGAAACAUACGACUUGUGUGUACAUGUAGGUGGAUAUCAUCGGAAAGCACGGUAAAACUGGUGUGUCGUCCUUGUGUACCAUUUGAGAUGAUGUUAUGUCGUACUUCAGCAAGUCAGCAGAUAACUGCUUCUGUAUUGACACCGUGUGCAAGAAUCGGACAACACCAGAGUUUGCUUGACAUAAAAGUCAUAAGUUAGUGCAGAUAAAAGCGCGUCAAAUGAAAUCAACAACUGUCAUAAGCUUAGUUGGGAGCUUGAAACUAGAGAGUGAAGGUCUUACUGAGAAUUCAGGUUCAAUAGGGUGCCUCCAGCUUAAAUAAGGGUUUUCGGUUUCUGCUUCAUCAUGUCAAGUUGGACGUGGCCUCGUGCAGUUGCGAGGUGCGAGAGGCAACGAGCAUUUAUUUCCUUCAAGAGGACUGUGAUCUAAUUUUUUUAAUUUAUGUCUUCAGUAUCUGCCGUUUUUAGUUAUUCUCUUCAUUUUUUGUAUGACCAUAGUUAGUCUCUUUCAGAUAUUUUAGGCUCUAAUUAUUCGUUUUUAUUUAUUUAGUCACCCAUUUCUGUUAGUGUUCAGUUUUUAUGUUCAUUGCUCUAUCUGCAAUUUACAUGAGCGAACUUUCUCAGUCCUCACUCUUUAUUCGUUAGUCCAUGUUCGGUCCCUCAUUUUCUCCUUUUUCUUUUUUAGCAGUUUAUGUUGCAUGCUGUAGGAGGAUGGGGGUAUUGAUGAAGAUGUGAACCAUCGAAUCAAAGCCGGAUGGAUGAAGUGGCGCCAAGCUUCUGGCAUUCUCUGUGAUAAGAGAGUGCCACAAAAGCUAAAAGGCAAGU
This is a long non-coding RNA of Triticum dicoccoides, 1920 nucleotides long. RefSeq lists it as uncharacterized. The record is from RefSeq and is a predicted model, not a curated record. NCBI's taxonomy places the organism in Eukaryota, Viridiplantae, Streptophyta, Magnoliopsida, Poales, Poaceae. The transcript has 3 exons.